This 301-nucleotide ribosomal RNA is filed under the name uncultured bacterium. Its description in RNAcentral is "partial 16S ribosomal RNA". It matches the Rfam family "Bacterial small subunit ribosomal RNA", at positions 509 to 807 of the family's 1533-position model. The record is from RNAcentral.
CAGUCGCCACGGGAAAACGGAAGGUCCGGGCGUUAUCCGGAUUUAUUGGGUUUAAAGGGAGCGUAGGCCGUAGAUUAAGCGUGUUGUGAAAUGUAGAUGCUCAACAUCUGACUUGCAGCGCGAACUGGUUUACUUGAGUGUGCACAACGUAGGCGGAAUUCGUCGUGUAGCGGUGAAAUGCUUAGAUAUGACGAAGAACUCCGAUUGCGGAGGCAGCUUACGGGAGCACAACUGACGCUGAAGCUCGAAGGUGCGGGUAUCAAACAGGAUUAGAUACCCCGGUAGUCCCUGUCUCUUAUAC